This 116-nucleotide ribosomal RNA is filed under the name Plesiomonas shigelloides. RNAcentral also lists the same sequence under 4 other names. The record is from RNAcentral. Lineage: Bacteria; Pseudomonadati; Pseudomonadota; Gammaproteobacteria; Enterobacterales; Enterobacteriaceae.
CCUGGCGGCGAUAGCGCGGUGGUCCCACCUGACCCCAUGCCGAACUCAGAAGUGAAACGCCGUAGCGCCGAUGGUAGUGUGGGGUCUCCCCAUGCGAGAGUAGGGAACUGCCAGAC